CCUACGGGGGGCUGCAGCGGGGAAUAUUGGACAAUGGGGGGAACCCUGAUCCAGCCAUGCCGCGUGUGUGAAGAAGGCCCUCGGGUUGUAAAGCACUUUCAGUGAGGAAGAACGCCUGGUGGUUAAUACCCAUCAGGAAAGACAUCACUCACAGAAGAAGCACCGGCUAACUCCGUGCCAGCAGCCGCGGUAAUACGGAGGGUGCGAGCGUUAAUCGGAAUUACUGGGCGUAAAGCGCGCGUAGGUGGCUUGAUAAGCCGGUUGUGAAAGCCCCGGGCUCAACCUGGGAACGGCAUCCGGAACUGUCAAGCUAGAGUGCAGGAGAGGAAGGUAGAAUUCCCGGUGUAGCGGUGAAAUGCGUAGAGAUCGGGAGGAAUACCAGUGGCGAAGGCGGCCUUCUGGACUGACACUGACACUGAGGUGCGAAAGCGUGGGUAGCAAACAGGAUUAGAUACCCGGGUAGUC
Molecule: ribosomal RNA, 465 nt
Filed under: Vreelandella stevensii
Lineage: Bacteria; Pseudomonadati; Pseudomonadota; Gammaproteobacteria; Oceanospirillales; Halomonadaceae
Description: partial 16S ribosomal RNA
Rfam family: Bacterial small subunit ribosomal RNA
Source: RNAcentral